AGAUUGAACGCUGGCGGCAGGCCUAACACAUGCAAGUCGAGCGGUAGAGAGGUGCUUGCAUCUCUUGAGAGCGGCGGACGGGUGAGUAAUGCCUAGGAAUCUGCCUAGUGGUGGGGGAUAACGUUCGGAAACGGACGCUAAUACCGCAUACGCCCUACGGGGGAAAGGGGGGAUCGCAAGACCUCUCACUAUUGGAGCGGCCGAUAUCAGAUUAGCUAGUUGGUGAGGUAAAGGCCCACCAAGGCGACGAUCUGUAGCUGGUUUGAGAGGACGACCAGCCACACUGGGACUGAGACACGGCCCAGACUCCUACGGGAGGCAGCAGUGGGAAUUUUGGACAAUGGGGGAAACCCUGAUCCAGCCAUCCCGCGUGUGCGAUGAAGGCCUUGGUUGUAAGCACUUUGCAGGAAGAACGCGUGCCGUAAUAACGGACGUCGACUGACGUAC
RNAcentral lists this ribosomal RNA (447 nucleotides) under uncultured soil bacterium. Its description in RNAcentral is "bacterial SSU rRNA". It matches the Rfam family "Bacterial small subunit ribosomal RNA", at positions 26 to 486 of the family's 1533-position model. The record is from RNAcentral.